UGCAGUCGAGGGGUAACAUUGUANCUUGCUACAGAUGACGACCGGCGCNCGGNUGAGUAACGCGUACGCAACCUGCCAUAUACAGAGGGAUAGCCUAGAGAAAUUUGGAUUAAUACCUCAUAGUAUUUCGAGAUCGCAUGAUCUUGAUCUUAAAGAUUUAUCGGUAUAUGAUGGGCAUGCGUGACAUUAGCUAGUUGGUGAGGUAAGGGCUCACCAAGGCUACGAUGUCUAGGGGGACUGAGAGGUUGACCCCCCACACUGGUACUGAGACACGGACCAGACUCCUACGGGAGGCAGCAGUGAGGAAUAUUGGUCAAUGGGCGCAAGCCUGAACCAGCCAUCCCGCGUGAAGGAUGACUGCCCUAUGGGUUGUAAACUUCUUUUAUGUGCCAAGAAAAUCAGCCACGUGUGGUUGACUGACGGUAGCACAAGAAUAAGGACCGGCUAACUCCGUGCCAGCAGCCGCGGUAAUACGGAGGGUCCGAGCGUUAUCCGGAUUCAUUGGGUUUAAAGGGUGCGUAGGCGGCUUCAUAAGCCAGUGGUGAAAGCUUGCAGCUUAACUGUAAAAUUGCCAUUGGAACUGUAGAGCUUGAGUACGAUUGAAGUAGGCGGAAUAAAUAGUGUAGCGGUGAAAUGCUUAGAUAUUAUUUAGAACACCNNUUGCGAANGCAGCUUACUAAGUCGUAACUGACGCUGAUGCACGAAAGCGUGGGUAGCGAACAGGAUUANAUACCCUGGUAGUCCACGCCGUAAACGAUGUUCACUCGUUGCUGGNGAUACACAGUCAGUGACCAAGCGAAAGCAUUAAGUGAAC
RNAcentral lists this ribosomal RNA (814 nucleotides) under uncultured bacterium. RNAcentral describes it as "bacterial SSU rRNA". It matches the Rfam family "Bacterial small subunit ribosomal RNA", at positions 56 to 869 of the family's 1533-position model. The record is from RNAcentral.